Molecule: ribosomal RNA, 464 nt
Filed under: uncultured Desulfuromonadales bacterium
Lineage: Bacteria; Pseudomonadati; Thermodesulfobacteriota; Desulfuromonadia; Desulfuromonadales
Description: partial 16S ribosomal RNA
Rfam family: Bacterial small subunit ribosomal RNA
Source: RNAcentral
CCUACGGGAGGCAGCAGUUAGGAAUUUUGGGCAAUGGGGGAAACCCUGACGCAGCAACGCCGCGUGAGUGAUGAAGGCCUUCGGGUCGUAAAGCUCUGUCAGAGGGGAAGAAAUGCAGGUGGUGAACAACCAUUCUGUUUGACGGUACCCUCAAAGGAAGCACCGGCUAACUCCGUGCCAGCAGCCGCGGUAAUACGGAGGGUGCGAGCGUUGUUCGGAAUUAUUGGGCGUAAAGCGCGUGUAGGCGGUUUGUUAAGUCUGAGGUAAAAGCCCCGGGCUCAACCGGGGAAGUGCAUUGGAUACUGGCAGGCUUGAGUACGGGAGAGGAGAGUGGAAUUCCCAGUGUAGGAGUGAAAUCCGUAGAUAUGGGGAGGAACACCGGUGGCGAGGGCGGCUCUCGGGACCGAAACUGACGCUGAGACGCGAAAGCGUGGGGAGCAAACAGGAUUAGAUACCCCGGUAGU